CGGUGAUGUGUUUGUAGAUCUUACUUUACUAAACAUUCUUGCUGCUUACAAUUAUCUCUAUCUAUAACAGUACUUUCUGUGGAAAAUGUUAUUGAAAAUCUUUCAAAUUUUAAGAAAAUUGUUAAAAAUUGACUAUGAAGGGCAAUAACUCCUUAGGGGGUCAAUUGACUAUUUUGGUCAUAGUGACUUAUUUUUAGUUCUUACUUUGCUGUACAUUAUUGCUGUUUACAGUUUAUCUCUAUCUAUAAUAAUAUUCAAGAUAACAAAAAAACAGCAAAAUUUCCUCAAAAUUACCAAUUCAGGGGCAGCAACCUAACAACUGAUUAUCUGAUUCAUCUGAAAAUUCCAGGGCAGAUAGAUCGUGACCUGAUCAACAAUUUUACUUCCUGUCAGAUUUGCUCUUAAUGCUUUGGUUUUUGAGUUAAAAGCCAAAAACUGCAUUUUACCCCCAUGUUCUAUUUUUAGCCAUGGUGGCCAUCUUGGUUUGUUGGCCGAGUUACCGGACACAUUUUUUAAACUAGAUACCCCAAUGAUGAUUAUGGCCAAGUUUGGUUAAAUUUGGCCCAGUAGUUUCAGAGGAGAAGAUUUUUCUAAAAAGAUUACUAAGAUUUACGAAAAAUGGUUAAAAAUUGACUAUAAAGGGCAAUAACUCCUAAAGUGGUCAACUGACCAUUUUGGUCAUGUUUAACUUAUUUGUAGAUCUUACUUUGCUGAACAUUAUUGCUGUUUACAGUUUAUCUCUAUCUAUAAUAAUAUUCAAGAUAAUAACCAAAAACAGCAAAAUUUCCUUAAAAUUACCAUUUCAGGGGCAGCAACCCAACAACGAAAUGUCCGAUUCAUCUGAAAAUUUCAGGGCAGAUAGAUCUUGACCUGAUAAACAAUAUUACCCCAUGUCAAGAUUUGCUCUCUAAAUGCUUUGGUUUUUGAGUUAUAAGCCAAAAACUGCAUUUUACCCCUAUGUUCUAUUUUUAGCCAUGGCGGCCAUCUUGGUUGGUUGGCCGGGUCACCGGACACAAUUUUUUAAACUAGAUACCCCAAUGAUGAUUGUGGCCAAGUUUGGUAAAAAUUGGCCCAGUAGUUUCAGAGGAGAAGAUUUUUGUAAAAGCUAACGACGGACGACGACGACGACGACGGACGACGGACGAUGGACGCCGGACGCCAAGUGAUGGGAAAAGCUCACUUGGCCCUUUGGGCCAGGUGAGCUAAAAAUAAU
RNAcentral lists this long non-coding RNA (1213 nucleotides) under Mytilus galloprovincialis (Mediterranean mussel). Lineage: Eukaryota; Metazoa; Mollusca; Bivalvia; Mytilida; Mytilidae. The record is from RNAcentral.